UCGGGAAUAUUGCGCAAUGGAGGAAACUCUGACGCAGUGACGCCGCGUGCAGGAAGAAGGUUUUCGGAUUGUAAACUGCUUUAGACAGGGAAGAAAAGACAGUACCUGUAGAAUAAGCUCCGGCUAACUACGUGCCAGCAGCCGCGGUAAUACGUAGGGAGCAAGCGUUGUCCGGAUUUACUGGGUGUAAAGGGUGCGUAGGCGGCAAAGCAAGUCAGAUGUGAAAUGUAUGGGCUCAACCCAUGAACUGCAUUUGAAACUGCAUUGCUUGAGUGAAGUAGGGGCAGGCGGAAUUCCCUGUGUAGCGGUGAAAUGCGUAGAGAUAGGGAGGAACACCAGUGGCGAAGGCGGCCUGCUGGGCUUUAACUGACGCUGAGGCACGAAAGCGUGGGUAGCAAACAGGAUUAGAUACCCUGGUAGU
RNAcentral lists this ribosomal RNA (421 nucleotides) under uncultured Clostridium sp. Its description in RNAcentral is "bacterial SSU rRNA". It matches the Rfam family "Bacterial small subunit ribosomal RNA", at positions 355 to 794 of the family's 1533-position model. The record is from RNAcentral. Lineage: Bacteria; Bacillati; Bacillota; Clostridia; Eubacteriales; Clostridiaceae.